Hevea brasiliensis (rubber tree) is the source of this 2520-nucleotide long non-coding RNA. RefSeq lists it as uncharacterized. Lineage: Eukaryota; Viridiplantae; Streptophyta; Magnoliopsida; Malpighiales; Euphorbiaceae. The transcript is spliced from 5 exons. The record is from RefSeq and is a predicted model, not a curated record.
UAAUCCAGCAUUGGGUGGUUUGGCCUGGCCGAAAUCCCCAAAAGCCAUACGUCAGUAGAUGAAUGUAGAUCUACGUUGCAGCGGCCCACGUGCGAAGCGCCCACUCCAGUGACAAUGGCGUCCUCAGGCUAAAAGUUUGUCUCCAGGUUAUCGUCUCGGUUACAGCCCUUCGCCUUUAAAAUCAAUAGCGAGUCGUUUUCUCCACUCACGUCGCUCUGCUUCCGCUCUCAGCUCCCUCUUUCUGCAAGACGCCUCUCUUGAAUCUCCAGAUUACCGCUGGAAUUGAGUUGCAUGGGAUCGAUGAUGCCAUUGCACAGCGCGAUAGCUUCAGCAACAUUAAUAUCGAGCUUGUCCAGUGAGUCUGAUGGUUGGGCUUUAGUGCCUCAAGGUAUAUCAAUGCCUUUAUGACAGUCUCCUUUGCCGCAACUUUUGGUUGGGGAGGUGGAAAAGAAUAUAGGAUUUUUUUUUUUGGGUUCUGAUUUCAAAACCUAAGAUUUGAAAAUGAUCAUUGACUUAGGUGACAGUGACACUGGUUAGGACUUGAUUCCUUCUGUUCAUGUUCAUCAUCUUCAUUUUACUCAACACCUCUUUUGUAAUGUCAAUAUCCUGGAGGUUGGAUAAAUUUAUGUUCAGUCAUGAUGAAGUAUUAUGCAUAUGCUUUUAUAAUAGCUGCAGGUUUUCAUUUCCCAAGCCAGUUAGACAAAGUUUAGAGCAUCUACUUUAUUUUCUACAAUAUGAGAAGGCCUUUAUCUCUUCCUUUGCAUGACUCCUUUUUCCACUUGAAGCUCAUAAUAAAGUCCAAGCUAGAUUUUCUCAGGUUGGUUGGCUUGGCUCUACUUACACUCAGGAUUGCUAUUGAUCUGAAUUCAAUCUUGCCAUUGAACAAUGAUUUUGGUACCCAGUCCAGCCUAUAUACUGGUUGCCCUCCAAAAACAGUGGGAGAAUUGGGGAUGGGGAUCGGGGGGGAAGGGGAUCUCAUUUGACUUUGUUAUUAGCAUCAUGUAUUUUCCCUUGGCAUUGCGUUUAAUCUGGCAUAGCAUCCCAUGAAAUGCAGUCUUGAGUUAUUGACAUUCCUUGAGAAGGUUCUCUACUUACAACUUGAUGUGCACAAGUGAAGAGGCCCUUUUUACCUCUUGUUGGAAGUCAGAGCCUACCCUUGUGAUGUUCUCUGAUACCGGUGGUAUUGUAGAUGAUUGACACAUGGAUAGUGUCAGGUUAGGUAUAUCUACGGUAGUGGGAAUACGGGUAAGUAUUUGGUUAAAAAUGUGUUUUAAAAACGUGUGUAACGCCUUCAUUUUAGAUAGUCUGUACGUUCUACUGUUCCGAUGACUAAUGUCUGUCCGAACAGCCAGAAUGUCUGGAACUACACUUAAACUAGGGUGAGGAGACAUAAAUUGACUAAACAAAGAUCAAGUAAAAUCAAGAAAAAAUAAAAGAAGCGAAGUGAAACUCGGUUAAAGGAACCGGAGUCAUGGCAAUGGGUAACCACGACCGGAAGCGACUGUUAUGACAGUUGCUAAUCCCAAACUCAUAAGAAACCCUGUAAGAUAAAUAUUGAAACUUAAUCGAAGGAGUUAUGAAGUCUAAAUGACAAUAAAAAUGCGAAAGAAAAUCUAGGAAAAUUAAGCCAAUCGAUAAGGACAGUUGUAACUCGAUAAGUUCAACGAAAGGCAUUUUGAUCAUUUCACCCUCAGGGUUGAAUUUUGACCUAAAUGCCAAGUGAAAAAAGAGAGAAUAAAAUAUUAAAAAAUAAAUUAAAAUUAUGAUUUAUGAAAUGGAAAAAGGGAAAAGAAAAGGAAAAGAAAGAAAUAAAAAAAUUAAAUGAAUUAUGAUAUAAGUAUGAUAUAAGAUGACAUAAUUAAAAAUUUUAAACCAAUUAUAUUUAAACAUAUAUAUAUUAGAGACAAAGAAAUUAAUUUAGCCUAAUCACUUUUCUUCUUCUUCUUCUUCUUUUUAGCUUGGCCGACUUCCAUGAGAGAGAGAGAGCUCCCUCCAUUAUCAAGCUCCCAAGCUUGAUUUCUCCUCCUUUUCCACCCCAAAACCCAUACCUCUCUUCACUAAAAAUUGUCUCCACACCUUGAGGAAGAUAGUGGCAACCAAGAAGUGAAGGAAACUUGAAGUUUUACAAGAUCACACUUGGCUCCAAAGAGGUUAGUGCACUAUACAUACCCUUACUCUUCUUUAAUUAGUGUAAGCAUUCUAAAUUAGCUUGAAAUUUCAUGAAAUCAAAAGAAAACCAUUAAUAAGUAGGAACCCUAAAAUUUGGCAGCCAUGAAUUGAGUUGAGGUUUGAUAAAAUUAAUUGAGUUUAUUAGUGUUAUUAAUGAGUAUAUAUGAUAAUUAAAUUGAUUGGCAUGUAUUUGCAAGAGAUUGUGAAUUUGAGUUAGGGUUUUUGACCUAACUUUGGGGAAAUUUGUGUAUGACUUGAAAUUGACGAUGUUGAGACCAAUUUGUUGACUAUUAGAAGUGCUAUAAAUGUGAAUUAAAAUUUGAAAGUUGGGUGGAUUUGAAAUUGGGAGUG